AGUGAACGUUGGCGGCGUGGAUUAGGCAUGCAAGUCGAGCGAGAACCGUAGCAAUACGGGGACAGCGGCGAAAGGGACAGGAAUGUGUAGGUACCUACCUCCGGGUUCGGGAUAGCUGCGGGAAACUGCAGGUAAUACCGAAUAACGUCUCAGGACCAAAGGUGUGAUUCCACCUGGAGAGGGGCCUGCAUCCUAUUAGCGUGUUGGCGAGGUAACGGCCCACCAAGGCGACGAUGGGUAGCGGGUGUGCGAGCACGACCCGCGUCGUUGGGACUGAGACACUGCCCAGACACCUACGGGUGGCUGCAGUCGAGGAUCUUCGGCAAUGGGCGCAAGCCUGACCGAGCGACGCCGCGUGCGGGAUGAAGGCCUUCGGGUUGUAAACCGCUGUCGUAGAGGAGGAAGUGCAGGGGGGUUCUCCCCUCUGUUUGACCUAUUCUAGGAGGAAGGACGGGCUAAGUUCGUGCCAGCAGCCGCAGUAA
Molecule: ribosomal RNA, 482 nt
Filed under: uncultured bacterium
Lineage: Bacteria
Description: partial 16S ribosomal RNA
Rfam family: Bacterial small subunit ribosomal RNA
Source: RNAcentral